Long non-coding RNA from Dunckerocampus dactyliophorus (ringed pipefish), 768 nucleotides. RefSeq lists it as uncharacterized. Lineage: Eukaryota; Metazoa; Chordata; Actinopteri; Syngnathiformes; Syngnathidae. The record is from RefSeq and is a predicted model, not a curated record. The transcript is spliced from 4 exons.
AAAACAAUGAGUGAGUGAAAACGAUGUAAUACACAAGGCACACAAUGCACACGCGUGGAACACAAACACAACAAUGGACGCGCAGUGAUACAAUGGGAGGGAAAGUCAUGCCGAGCGAUUGUGAGGUCUGAUUUUUUUCCAGGAGGCAUUUUUGUGCCACAAAUGUUUUACCCUUUAGAAAGCAUACUGUUUUUGAGAAGCCAAACUGUACGUAAGUGGCCCCACCAACUAACCGGAGCUACGUUCCUCAUCACCGAAAUCCGACCAAAACUCGGCUCAGGAAGUGGGGGGGGGUAAGGGUUAAGUGGCCAUCCAGCCCUAGAAACCAAGUGUGCUCGGGGACCAGACUUGAAACGAAGUGGUAGGAGGAGAUACACUCCACACACUCCAGCUGAAAGGACGAUAGAGCGGAGACCGAAAGAAGCAUAUAAAUGAACCCUCUGCUACACCACACAGCCCUCCAGUACCGUUCACAAGCUGCAUUGGAAAGGUCAAAUGCAACAAAAUGCCAUUCUGGAUUUUGUUACUAAAGAAUCUGAGAGAGAACAUCAACAACAGGACUAGACUUUGGCCAAAACAGGGAGGAUUUUAAACCUCAAAUAAUGCUUGCUAUAAAAACGGUGGCUCCACGCUUCCCUCAGUAGAAGCUCAGACAAGAGAGAAUCCAACUGAAGCAAACAUGCUGAGAGUGUACAAGCUUGAGAAGGCUUUGGAGACGGUCCUGGGUGAAGUCAACCCUGUCACCUCCGAUGGAGAAGACAUAGCAGA